This 374-nucleotide ribosomal RNA is filed under the name uncultured organism. RNAcentral describes it as "partial 16S ribosomal RNA". It matches the Rfam family "Bacterial small subunit ribosomal RNA", at positions 527 to 896 of the family's 1533-position model. The record is from RNAcentral.
GUAGGUGGCAAGCGCUGUCCGGAAUUAUUGGGCGUAAAGCGCGCGCAGGCGGUUCUUUAAGUCUGAUGUGAAAGCCCACGGCUCAACCGUGGAGGGUCAUUGGAAACUGGAGAACUUGAGUACAGAAGAGGAAAGCGGAAUUCCACGUGUAGCGGUGAAAUGCGUAGAGAUGUGGAGGAACACCAGUGGCGAAGGCGGCUUUCUGGUCUGUAACUGACGCUGAGGCGCGAAAGCGUGGGGGAGCAAACAGGAUUAGAUACCCUGGUAGUCCACGCCGUAAACGAUGAGUGCUAAGUGUUAGGGGGUUUUCCGCCCCCUUAGUGCUGCAGCUAACGCAUUAAGCACUCCCGCCUGGGAGUACGGCCGCAAGGCUG